CAUUUUUAAUGAAAGAAAUAUUUUCUCAACACAAUCUGACUGCUAUCGUCUGCUCUCAUGGAACUUUUCAAAAACUCUAUGGAGUACGUAUUCCGAUCCCGCAUUCGAUCUCGUUUACCACCGACAUGCAGACGCAGUGACACAAUUAUGCAGCAAUACAUGUGAUUAUAUUCUUACUACAAAUAUUUUCAAACUAAUUUCCGGGCCAUUUUUAUUAAAUUCAUACUGUUUCUAUGUUAAGAAAUAGGUUAACCUGUUCGUGAAUUGACGACAACGUUUAACAAGUGCAAUUGUCCUUUGAAAUCAGCUCACAUUCCGUUAAAUUUCAUACCGUGCGCAUGCAAGAAACAAAAAGAUAUUUGAGUAUGUUAUGUGUUCAUUUGUUUGAAUGAUUGUGUAUAAAUAUGAAGUUGUUUCUUGCAUGCGCACAUAGUUUAUUUAAUGUAAAUUUGACAAAUUUUCAUAAAUUUUACGGGAAAACGUCUUAAAUAGGCACGAAAACGUUGUUAUUGUGACGUCAUUGACGCAAAAUGUUGGAAAAAUAAUAUCAAAACUUAAAGCUUUCAUCCUAAAGUAUUCAAAAAGUACAAGUUUUUAAUUUUUCAUGUGUUUUAAAAUUUCCGAAAAAAAUAGGCCAAAAAGGGGUCUUAAUGCCCCUACUCCUUU
Molecule: long non-coding RNA, 666 nt
Filed under: Mytilus galloprovincialis (Mediterranean mussel)
Lineage: Eukaryota; Metazoa; Mollusca; Bivalvia; Mytilida; Mytilidae
Source: RNAcentral